AUGGCUAGCCCUAGCCUUUUAGUCCUGUCCAUGAUCCUAAUCCUGCAUUCCAUUCUAUCCAUGGCAUCUGCAUCCCUAUCCUGUGUUCUUCAGUGUGAGUCCGAGGUUAACAUGCGCUUGUACUUGCACCAAAUCGCCGCCGGACCAGGCAUCAACCAGGUAGCAAUUGUUACCUCCAGCAAACCAUCAGAGUUUGGUCUAACUGCAGUUACCGACUGGACUGUGAUUGAUGGACCAAACCCCGCUACUGCCACCAUUGUUGCCCGUACCAAAGGCAUGCAAGUGCAGGCUGAUGUAGCCGGUCCAGGCUGGUUCAACUACUUCAGCAUGGUGUUCGAGAAGAACUCUAGGUACAAUGGAUCAUCAUUCGAAGCGAUGGGGAUCAAUUUUCAAACAGGCCAAGGCCAGAUGGCCAUUAUGGGUGGGACUGGAGAGUUUGCUAUGGCACGUGGGAUCAUCAAGUAUUACGCACUCACCAACCCCCCUACGUUCCAAACUAUUAAAGAACUCAAUAUCCAUGCAUUCUACGUCAAAGCUUCUGACACUACAUCUGGCGCCACCAUCCAAUAA
This 570-nucleotide ribosomal RNA is filed under the name Triticum aestivum (bread wheat). RNAcentral describes it as "partial small subunit ribosomal RNA". The record is from RNAcentral. Lineage: Eukaryota; Viridiplantae; Streptophyta; Magnoliopsida; Poales; Poaceae.